GCCUUCGUGGUGUAAUGGUAGCACACUCGGUGCGAAUUCGAGAGGUCCAGGUUCGAGUCCCGGCGAGGGCA
RNAcentral lists this transfer RNA (71 nucleotides) under Stegodyphus mimosarum. It matches the Rfam family "tRNA". Rfam says of the family: Transfer RNA (tRNA) molecules are approximately 80 nucleotides in length. Their secondary structure includes four short double-helical elements and three loops (D, anti-codon, and T loops). Lineage: Eukaryota; Metazoa; Arthropoda; Arachnida; Araneae; Eresidae. The record is from Rfam by way of RNAcentral.